RNAcentral lists this ribosomal RNA (495 nucleotides) under uncultured bacterium. Its description in RNAcentral is "partial 16S ribosomal RNA". It matches the Rfam family "Bacterial small subunit ribosomal RNA", at positions 28 to 505 of the family's 1533-position model. The record is from RNAcentral.
GAUGAACGCUGGCGGCGUGCCUAAUACAUGCAAGUCGAGCGAACAGAUGAGGAGCUUGCUCCUCUGACGUUAGCGGCGGACGGGUGAGUAACACGUGGAUAACCUACCUAUAAGACUGGGAUAACUUCGGGAAACCGGAGCUAAUACCGGAUAAUAUAUUGAACCGCAUGGUUCAAUAGUGAAAGACGGUUUUGCUGUCACUUAUAGAUGGAUCCGCGCCGCAUUAGCUAGUUGGUAAGGUAGCGGCUUACCAAGGCAACGAUGCGUAGCCGACCUGAGAGGGUGAUCGGCCACACUGGAACUGAGACACGGUCCAGACUCCUACGGGAGGCAGCAGUAGGGAAUCUUCCGCAAUAGGCGAAAGCCUGACGGAGCAACGCCGCGUGAGUGAUGAAGGUCUUCGGAUCGUAAAACUCUGUUAUUAGGGAAGAACAAAUGUGUAAGUAACUAUGCACGUCUUGACGGUACCUAAUCAGAAAGCCACGGCUAACUACG